GUCCCCGUAGUUUAAUGGAUGAAAACGUGUGGCCACGGACCAUAAGAUUGAGGGUUCGAGUCCUUCCGGGGAUA
Molecule: transfer RNA, 74 nt
Filed under: Lachnospiraceae bacterium
Lineage: Bacteria; Bacillati; Bacillota; Clostridia; Lachnospirales; Lachnospiraceae
Description: tRNA-Arg
Rfam family: tRNA
About the family: Transfer RNA (tRNA) molecules are approximately 80 nucleotides in length. Their secondary structure includes four short double-helical elements and three loops (D, anti-codon, and T loops).
Source: RNAcentral